UUAUUCUCAGACUUCAAAGGUUUGUUGAAGACUUUUGAAGCUUUGGAUAUGGGGGGAUUUUGCUGGUGAAUCUUUAUUGCCGGCUCCUCUAAAAUGCAUCAGUGGAGAGAACAUUUGUUCUUGGCUCUGGUUUGAUAAUAUCUAUGCCAUUGCUUUGAACACGGCUUUUCCACGAAGAUGUCCUAUUUGGACAAGCUUGUUGAAAA
This 206-nucleotide unclassified non-coding RNA is filed under the name uncultured Agaricales. RNAcentral's name for it is "sequence contains ITS2". Lineage: Eukaryota; Fungi; Basidiomycota; Agaricomycetes; Agaricales. The record is from RNAcentral.